GGGUCGGUGACGCAACUGGAUAACGUAGCGGACUAAAAUGGAAACGAAUCCGUUAGGUGCAGGCUUCGCCGUGAGCGCUCAGCCGAAAGGUUCGAGUCCUGUCCGACCCA
RNAcentral lists this transfer RNA (110 nucleotides) under Ardenticatenia bacterium. Its description in RNAcentral is "tRNA-OTHER". It matches the Rfam family "tRNA". Rfam says of the family: Transfer RNA (tRNA) molecules are approximately 80 nucleotides in length. Their secondary structure includes four short double-helical elements and three loops (D, anti-codon, and T loops). Lineage: Bacteria; Bacillati; Chloroflexota; Ardenticatenia. The record is from RNAcentral.